RNAcentral lists this ribosomal RNA (497 nucleotides) under uncultured bacterium. Its description in RNAcentral is "partial 16S ribosomal RNA". It matches the Rfam family "Bacterial small subunit ribosomal RNA", at positions 28 to 507 of the family's 1533-position model. The record is from RNAcentral.
GAUGAACGCUGGCGGCGUGCCUAAUACAUGCAAGUCGAGCGAACGGACGAGAAGCUUGCUUCUCUGAUGUUAGCGGCGGACGGGUGAGUAACACGUGGAUAACCUACCUAUAAGACUGGGAUAACUUCGGGAAACCGGAGCUAAUACCGGAUAAUAUUUUGAACCGCAUGGUUCAAAAGUGAAAGACGGUCUUGCUGUCACUUAUAGAUGGAUCCGCGCUGCAUUAGCUAGUUGGUAAGGUAACGGCUUACCAAGGCAACGAUGCAUAGCCGACUUGAGAGGGUGAUCGGCCACACUGGAACUGAGACACGGUCCAGACUCCUACGGGAGGCAGCAGUAGGGAAUCUUCCGCAAAGGGCGAAAGCCUGACGGAGCAACGCCGCGUGAGUGAUGAAGGUCUUCGGAUCGUAAAACUCUGUUAUUAGGGAAGAACAUAUGUGUAAGUAACUGUGCACAUCUUGACGGUACCUAAUCAGAAAGCCACGGCUAACUACGUG